UGGAACUUCUUGAUCCUGGGCUCAGGAGCCGGCACAGCGGCGGUCUGAGCGUAACGCACCAUCUGACUCACAGAAACCAAACAACAGUUACACUGCGCUGGAAUGGCAACUGUCCAAGGUGUACCUCGCCUCUCACCCAUUGACCGCUGGAUAUGGACACCAGCCUCCCUACGGAGUCAGAGGUGUCGAGGACUGGGGUGGCCGUUGUGGUAGAGCUUCUGCUUGAUGUGGACCAUGUUGCCGCUGGAGUCCUCCAGCUGU
Long non-coding RNA from Poecilia latipinna (sailfin molly), 261 nucleotides. RefSeq lists it as uncharacterized. The transcript is spliced from 3 exons. NCBI's taxonomy places the organism in Eukaryota, Metazoa, Chordata, Actinopteri, Cyprinodontiformes, Poeciliidae. The record is from RefSeq and is a predicted model, not a curated record.